GUUACUCCACAAAUAAGAUUGUUACUGAACCCACAGCUACGCGAUAGCUCUUGCCUUCCCACUCGACCCGUAUCUGUUCUGCUUUUCGCUAUUCUCUCGGCUGAAUAAAACCUUGGAACGUACAAAUAAACGAAAAAUAUACCAUGUAAUUGCUGAGACAACUAGUAAAUGGUUACCUACUACUAAAUUGUAACUUGUACCAGUUGUAAGGAAAUAUAAAAUAGAAGGUGACUAAGGAGGGUUGAAACCAGAUUAGACGUAUUACAGUAAUCGAAGAUGGAAACCUUAUACGUGUUUCGUAGAAGCCGUAAGAAUUCCUCGUCCACGGUACCCUUUCUGAUAGUAUUUCCUACAUACGAUCACUAUGAGAAGAGUUUCGUUCGAUCUUUGUAAUAAUCAAGUACAUCUUUUCGUUACGUUCUAUCGCAACGUUCGUCGGUAAUUAGAAAAAUCGAGACGUUUAGCGACAUGUUGGAAGAAGUUAAAAGUCAAAGAAAAAUUAACUCGCGAUAUCGUGCAGAAAUUUGUUAGCACGAAGCUCCGAUAGCUUGCAGUUCGAUAGAACUGAAAGUAUCGCGGAAUAUGCUUGUCUGUGAAAUUUCAAGAUUUAAAGCAAAAUAUACCUUUCAGUAUAAGAAUGUUCUAACGUGUAUUAUCGAACAGAUAUAUCCAGUCUCAACCUGGAAGGAUGGUCAACUAUAGUGUACUUGUUUUUUACCGUCUACCGUUUGUCACCCGCAAAAGUUAACAGGAAACAUCGACGGAAUAAUCUCACGGCUAUAUCGCUACUUUCUUUCGUCCUUCGUUUUUGAUAUUUUCUCCGUUUCUUUGCGGUAAAUGCGUACGGCUGGAACGGAAGAUUAUAGACACUA
Long non-coding RNA from Bombus impatiens (common eastern bumble bee), 872 nucleotides. RefSeq lists it as uncharacterized. The transcript is spliced from 3 exons. Lineage: Eukaryota; Metazoa; Arthropoda; Insecta; Hymenoptera; Apidae. The record is from RefSeq and is a predicted model, not a curated record.